Non-coding RNA from Pelobates cultripes (western spadefoot toad), 235 nucleotides. The record is from the annotation of a GenBank genome assembly. NCBI's taxonomy places the organism in Eukaryota, Metazoa, Chordata, Amphibia, Anura, Pelobatidae.
AGUCAGUCAGUCAGUCAGUCUAUCAGUCAGUCAGUCAGUCAGUAUAUCAGUCAGUCAGUCAGUCAGUAUAUCAGUCAGUAUAUCAGUAUAUCAGUAUAUCAGUCAGUCAGUAUGUCAGUCAGUCAGUAUAUCAGUCAGUCUAUCAGUCAGUCAGUCAGUCAGUCUGUCUAUCAGUCAGUCAGUCAGUCAGUCAGUAUAUCAGUCAGUCAGUCAGUAUAUCAGUCAGUCAGUCAGU